CGUUAACACACCUGUGUCUAAUUCCCUGAGAUCUAUGUAAGCAGUGUGUGAGAAGCUGCUCGCCUUGCGACAUCCUGCUGCUGCCCUGUGUGAAUCCUUCUCACCUCCAGAUGACUUGCUUUAACAUCACUAGAUCUUUGAUGGUCUUGAAAUAAAACCUUUCAUGUUAUAAUGAAGCGGCGUGUAUGUCUGGCUCUACUUCAGGAUGUCCGUGGUGGUGUGGAGCAGAUGUUUAUAUUGUUUCCCCCUCCAUCUGCAGUGAGGCUCAGGUGUAUUAUUGACAGAUGAUGGUGUUGGAUGUGAGGUUAUCUUGAGUACACAUGAGUGACAGUGAUUAUGAUGUGGUUUGGACACAGCACCUGACUGAGUUUUGCAGAUUCCCCUGAUGGUGAUUAGCGACGGCUGGUUUAUUGCUUACAAGCGCUACUGAUCUCUUAAUCUCUCUCUCUCUCUCUCUCUCUCUCUCAUGUUCCCUCCUGCUGUUCCGCGUCCCGCUGAGCCUCUCAGCCUGUAAUUAAUCCCAGACCAACAUCAGGCCCAGGGGCUGCCACCAGGUCAGAGGUCAGAGGUCACAGUACAGGGUGGCACCCUGAGGGUGGUGGAGGUGAGAGCUGAAUGAAACACAUGCACUCGGGUUUCUGAGUCAGCACCAAGUCUCUUCUCCUCAGAGCGCCGAUCUGCUCGGGUCUGUUCCUCAGACAGCGUAGAGUCCUGAGACCCGUCUUACUCCGACACACACUCCGACACACACUCCGACACACACUCCGACACACACUCCGACAAAAUCCGAUAUACACUCCAACACACUCCGACAAACACUCCGACAAAACACUCCGACAAACACUCCGAUACACUCUGACACACUCGGAUACACACUGACACACUCAGACUCUGAAACUUGGUCACAUUCUAGCACACUCCGACACACCCCUACACUCUCCAACACACACUCUUCCCUCCACUGAUUUCUCCGACACACACUCUUCCCUCCACUGAUUUCUCCGACACACACUCUUCCCUCCACUGAUUUCUCCGACACACACUCUUCCCUCCACUGAUUUCUCCGACACACACUCUUCCCUCCACUGAUUUCGCUGUAUCUCUGACCUUCGUCUCACCCGGUUUAAUAAUCGCACUUUGAUGCGCUCAGUGCGAGAAGCCUCACAGGCUCUGAAUAGACGGGAAACAGGAAGACAUCUGGGCCCAUGUGGUGGACGGUGCCACGGCCAUGAUGAUGAUGAUGAUGAUGAUGAUGAAGGGUUAUCACGGGGAAAGAAGAUGAUGAAAGAUGAAGAUGUACUCGUGAUAUUUUCCACAGUUUAGUGUUGAAUAAAAUCAGCCGCUGAGGUGCUC
Ictalurus punctatus (channel catfish) is the source of this 1353-nucleotide long non-coding RNA. Lineage: Eukaryota; Metazoa; Chordata; Actinopteri; Siluriformes; Ictaluridae. The record is from Ensembl.